MicroRNA precursor from Medicago truncatula (barrel medic), 115 nucleotides. It matches the Rfam family "MIR2593 microRNA precursor family". Lineage: Eukaryota; Viridiplantae; Streptophyta; Magnoliopsida; Fabales; Fabaceae. The record is from Rfam.
UUAUAAGCAAAAAAUAACUUUUUAGAUUCAUUGAAUAAAUGAUGUAUGUGAUAUAUACUAUAGGCCAAAUACAUCAGUUAUUUAAUGAGCCUAAAAAGUUGUUUUUUGCUUAUAA